RNAcentral lists this long non-coding RNA (207 nucleotides) under Lathyrus oleraceus (garden pea). RNAcentral's name for it is "Pisum sativum (pea) long non-coding RNA (PSAT_LNC009862)". Lineage: Eukaryota; Viridiplantae; Streptophyta; Magnoliopsida; Fabales; Fabaceae. The record is from RNAcentral.
UGAGGGGGUUAACCCCCAUGACUCUAAGGUCAGGGGUUCAACCCCCAACACUUUCACUUGUCCCAUUUUAUUUCUUGUUUAUUUUGUUUUUUUUAUAUUUACCCCAUUUAUUUUCUAUUUCUCUUGAUUUUUUUACCACUCGUUUUUAUUUUAUUAAAAAUAUUCCCAACACAAACUCAUAUUAUUUUUUCCUAUACUAUAUUAUUA